UACAGAGGUCCCAAGCGUUGUUCGGAUUCACUGGGCGUAAAGGGUGCGUAGGCGGUCGGGUAAGUCUGAUGUGAAAUCUCACAGCUUAACUGUGAAACUGCAUUGGAUACUAUCCGGCUCGAGGAAUGGAGGGGAGACUGGAAUACUUGGUGUAGCGGUGAAAUGCGUAGAUAUCAGGAGGAAUACCGGUGGUGCAGACGGCUCUCUGGACCGCAACUGACGCUGAGACACGAAAGCGUGGGUAGCAAACAGG
Molecule: ribosomal RNA, 253 nt
Filed under: uncultured bacterium
Lineage: Bacteria
Description: partial 16S ribosomal RNA
Rfam family: Bacterial small subunit ribosomal RNA
Source: RNAcentral